GGGAACCGUGCCCGAAUGCUUAAGGACCACUUUGAUAGAGUGACACACGGGGGUUCAAGUCCCCCCGGUUCCU
Molecule: transfer RNA, 73 nt
Filed under: Bathytyphlops sewelli (Sewell's spiderfish)
Lineage: Eukaryota; Metazoa; Chordata; Actinopteri; Aulopiformes; Ipnopidae
Description: tRNA-Ile
Rfam family: tRNA
About the family: Transfer RNA (tRNA) molecules are approximately 80 nucleotides in length. Their secondary structure includes four short double-helical elements and three loops (D, anti-codon, and T loops). Further hydrogen bonds mediate the characteristic L-shaped molecular structure. tRNAs have two regions of fundamental functional importance: the anti-codon, which is responsible for specific mRNA codon recognition, and the 3' end, to which the tRNAs corresponding amino acid is attached (by aminoacyl-tRNA synthetases). tRNAs cope with the degeneracy of the genetic code in two manners: having more than one tRNA (with a specific anti-codon) for a particular amino acid; and 'wobble' base-pairing, i.e. permitting non-standard base-pairing at the 3rd anti-codon position.
Source: RNAcentral